Long non-coding RNA from Hyalella azteca, 217 nucleotides. RefSeq lists it as uncharacterized. The record is from RefSeq and is a predicted model, not a curated record. The transcript has 3 exons. Lineage: Eukaryota; Metazoa; Arthropoda; Malacostraca; Amphipoda; Hyalellidae.
AGCUGUCGACGGCGCUUGCUAGAUGGGACUCCAAUUCAUGCAUCGGCGAGGCGUUCAGCUGUAUGUGGGCGCGUUAUUACGAGUACAUCGAGAAGGUGGAACCCGUCAAAAAGUUGCUGCAAAAGAAGCUGUCAAGCAACGAGGAGCUACGGGAACUGUUGAAGCUGCAUCGCGGCGCAGCCAAACACUCCGUGCAGCAACUUCUGCAACUACCGGU